CAUUAGGAUCGUCAUUCGUCACCGCUAAUCAUAGCCCAAAUACCCGUAAUAAUUAACGAGAAAAACUCAAUUUUUUCCAACUUUAACCUCAACCGCGAUAUCGUUGAUUUAUCGUCCAAUCAGGGAGACACGGAAAACAUCUCUUUGUCACGUCCGUGACGAACGCUUCCGAAACGCGGAUGAUCCUCUUAUCAGUGCCCGACUUGCCACGAGCCGAACCCACGUGUGUCCGUCAUCCAUUUCAAAAUGGCGAUGGACAAACUCAUGCUCCUGAACGAGGUCGCUCGGAGCAUCCUCGAAGCGGAGGACGACGAUAGCGGACCCUCGCAACCCAAAAAACCCAACGUCGUCGCCGAGGACCCCGAUCCAGGACCUUUCUUCGAGGACCGAGACCGAGACCUUUCGCCGAGACCUUUCGUGCCCGUGACGCAGUGCUGCUACCUCCUGUGCCACGACAAAGUUCCCAAGGACGAUCAACGGAAACUUUGGGACCUCUGGGAGAAUACGAUGGGGAUGGACAAAGCCGCUCAAGACGAGUAUCUAUCCAGCUUGAUCGAGUUCCGACCGCCGGCUACCGUCAAAGUUGAACCGAAAAGGAAAAGGGAAUACCUUUGGAGGUACACCAUCAACCCGAACGGCACCGAAAUUCAAUGCUGCCAAAAAUUCCUGCUCAAACUCUACCAAAUCUCCGAGAAGCGACUGCGCGUGAUCCAGGAGAAAACGCGAAACGGCGACUCCUUCGUCGAAAAGCGCGGGAAACACUCCCGUCCGAAGCCGAAAGCACAGAACCUCUGGGACUUAGCCGAGGAGCACCUAGCCACCCUCCCUUUCACGCAGGGACUAGACGGGACGGAUAAAAGGUACCUCAAGGAUUCCUCCCUCACCAUCAAAAAAGUCUGGGCCAUGUUCGAGGAGUGGUACGAGGCCACGACCGGGCAAGAGUUGGUCGGGCUGUCCUACAAGACCUACCACAAGAAGUUCCAGGCCUCCAAGAAGUACGCGUUCCUUUACCAGUUGGUCAUCCCUGACGAGAUUAGCGGGAAUACGUGGCUCGAUGAACCGACCAAGCAGCUCAUGGAGGAAGAGAAACCGCCGAAAGGAAAGAAACGAAAAGGAAAGUCGAAGAAAUGA
Molecule: long non-coding RNA, 1131 nt
Filed under: Bemisia tabaci
Lineage: Eukaryota; Metazoa; Arthropoda; Insecta; Hemiptera; Aleyrodidae
Description: lncRNA ENSSSA1UGG012962
Source: RNAcentral